CCUACGGGAGGCAGCAGUGGGGAAUUUUGGACAAUGGGCGCAAGCCUGAUCCAGCAAUGCCGCGUGAGUGAAGAAGGCCUUCGGGUUGUAAAGCUCUUUUGUCAGGGAAGAAACGGUCUACUCUAAUACAGUGGGCUAAUGACGGUACCUGAAGAAUAAGCACCGGCUAACUACGUGCCAGCAGCCGCGGUAAUACGUAGGGUGCAAGCGUUAAUCGGAAUUACUGGGCGUAAAGCGUGCGCAGGCGGUUAUAUAAGUCAGAUGUGAAAUCCCCGGGCUCAACCUGGGAACUGCAUUUGAGACUGUAUGGCUAGAGUGUGUCAGAGGGGGGUAGAAUUCCACGUGUAGCAGUGAAAUGCGUAGAUAUGUGGAGGAAUACCGAUGGCGAAGGCAGCCCCCUGGGAUAACACUGACGCUCAUGCACGAAAGCGUGGGGAGCAAACAGGAUUAGAUACCCUGGUAGUCCACGCCCUAAACGAUGUCUACUAGUUGUCGGGACUUAAUUGUCUUGGUAACGCAGCUAACGCGUGAAGUAGACCGCCUGGGGAGUACGGUCGCAAGNUUAAAACUCAAAUGAAAUUGAGG
This 585-nucleotide ribosomal RNA is filed under the name uncultured bacterium. RNAcentral describes it as "bacterial SSU rRNA". It matches the Rfam family "Bacterial small subunit ribosomal RNA", at positions 338 to 916 of the family's 1533-position model. The record is from RNAcentral.